GAUGAAGAACGCAGCGAAAUGCGAUACGUAGUGUGAAUUGCAGAAUUCAGUGAAUCAUCGAAUCUUUGAACGCACAUUGCACCUCUCGGUAUUCCGGGAGGUAUGCCUGUUCGAGCGUCAUUUGUACCCUCAAGCUCUGCUUGGUGUUGGGUGUUUGUUCCGCCUCUGUGUGUGAACUCGCCUCAAAACAAUUGGCAGCCGGCGUACUUGUUUCGGAGCGCAGCACAUUUUGCGAUCCAGAUCAACGUACAGCGGCAUCCAAGAAGCCUUAUUUAACGCUCUUGACCUCGGAUCAGGUAGGGAUACCCGCUGAACUUAAGCAUUUCAAUAAGCGGAGGA
Molecule: unclassified non-coding RNA, 339 nt
Filed under: soil metagenome
Description: partial contains 5.8S ribosomal RNA, internal transcribed spacer 2, and large subunit ribosomal RNA
Rfam family: 5.8S ribosomal RNA (bases 1-120)
Source: RNAcentral